This 491-nucleotide ribosomal RNA is filed under the name uncultured bacterium. Its description in RNAcentral is "partial 16S ribosomal RNA". It matches the Rfam family "Bacterial small subunit ribosomal RNA", at positions 29 to 506 of the family's 1533-position model. The record is from RNAcentral.
AGUGAACGCUGGCGGUAGGCCUAACACAUGCAAGUCGAACGGCCGCACAGUAAGAGUUCUCUCCUACGGGUGGCGACUGGCGGACGGGUGAGGAAUACAUCGGAAUCUACUUUUUCGUGGAGGAUAACGUAGGACAACUUCUGCUAAUAGCGCAUAUGUCCUACGGGUGAAAUCAGGAGAUCCUGGGACCUUGCGCGAUUGUAUGAGACGGGGUCGGUUUAGCUAGUUGGCGGGGUAAGGGCCCACCAAGGCGACGAGCCGUAGCUGGUCUGAGGGGAUGGUCAGCCACACUGGACCUGAGACACGGCCCAGCCCCCUAGGGGAGGCGGCAGAGGGAAUUUUUGGACAAGGGGGGAAACCCGGAGCAAGCCAGCCCGCGGGGGUAAAGAAGGCCUUCGGUUUGUAAACCCCUUUUGUUGGGAAAGAAAAGCGGCAGGUUAACACCCCGCUGUCCGAACGGUACCCAAAGAAAAAGCACCGGUAAACUCCGG